Molecule: ribosomal RNA, 83 nt
Filed under: uncultured eukaryote
Lineage: Eukaryota
Description: partial Eukaryotic small subunit ribosomal RNA
Rfam family: Eukaryotic small subunit ribosomal RNA
Source: RNAcentral
CUGAAAUUUGUGCAAAUCCUUACCUUUAGAGGAAGGUGAAGUCGUAACAAGGUUUCCGUAGGUGAACCUGCGGAAGGAUCAUU